RNAcentral lists this ribosomal RNA (253 nucleotides) under uncultured bacterium. Its description in RNAcentral is "partial 16S ribosomal RNA". It matches the Rfam family "Bacterial small subunit ribosomal RNA", at positions 524 to 776 of the family's 1533-position model. The record is from RNAcentral.
CACGUAGGCACCAAGCGUUGUCCGGAUUUAUUGGGCGUAAAGAGCGUGUAGGCGGCCAGGUAGGUCUGCUGUGAAAACUCGAGGCUCAACCUCGAGACGUCGGCGGAAACCAUCUGGCUAGAGUCCGGAAGAGGAGAGUGGAAUUCCUGGUGUAGCGGUGAAAUGCGCAGAUAUCAGGAAGAACACCCGUGGCGAAGGCGGCUCUCUGGGACGGUACUGACGCUGAGACGCGAAAGCGUGGGGAGCGAACAGG